Pyrus x bretschneideri (Chinese white pear) is the source of this 2447-nucleotide RNA transcript. RefSeq lists it as uncharacterized. The record is from RefSeq and is a predicted model, not a curated record. Lineage: Eukaryota; Viridiplantae; Streptophyta; Magnoliopsida; Rosales; Rosaceae. The transcript is spliced from 9 exons.
CACAGCCCCUUUUUUGAACCGGUUGGGUUUCGGUUUUCAUCUUAAAAUAAUUCCGUACCGAUUUCGGUGUUUUACCUUAUAAGAACCGACGUGUAUUCGGUUUCAUUUAUCGGUUUUUACCCUCAAUCUGUCUCAGUCCUCCUCUUGUACGCAUUUUUUUCGGUUUUACCCCGAAAAGAAUCGGUUCAGGUUUCGGUUUUCACCCUUGCAUUUUCUCAAUGUCUCUCUCUCUAAUCGACCCGUUGAGGUCCGGCCUCCAAAACCCAGAUCACACGGACGACUUCGUUUGACGCCGGAAAGUCGUCGGAUUCCGUCGUAUGCGGAAGAGAGAGCUAGAGAGGACUGCGGGUAAAACACGUUAUUUUCGAAAGUAAGUGAGCGCAGUACUGAAAGUUUAAUUAAAACGGGACGCUGGGUACGCAGACGACGAAACGAUCCAGAACGCCGCCUAGUCCCAUAGACGACGAUGCUGCAGCAGCAACAACCCCAAACACUGACCCAGAACUCCACGCCGGGCAGCCUCCCUCUGCGGGGUCUACCACGGCGGAGGCGCCGCCAACACCGACCCUCCUUUCAUUUUCUCUCUCCCGUCCUCAUCCUCUCUCUCUUCUCUCUUUUGGCGGGGUCUUCCUGCACUGAUCUUACCGGUCCACCACCAUGAAGAUUCAAAUAGAGAGAGAGACUGGGGAGGCCGCAGUAGGGUUUUCGUGGCGGAAGUGUUUGGCAUCUGGCAUGAGGUUUUGGAGAAGAAGAGUUCUUUUUCUGUAAAAAUUGGAUCUCAUUUCGGAUUUAUUUUCGGCCACGAGUGAGUGAAUUGUAGAGCUGCAGCUGCUUGUGCAAAUUGCAAUCACAGGGAAUUUAAUUGAAACCCACUACCGAGUCCAUGGCGGAGAGCAAUUGGGAAAGUAGAAUUCAAAGAAUACUUUGUGAAGGGAAACUUUGAUGGCUACGUUCAGAUGAAAUAUGUGAAGUUCUUUGAAGUCAUAACGGAGUUGCAAUUUCUGAGAAGCCUGAAGUUAAGCCACCGAGUGGAUCCAUUUUUCUUUUUGAUAAGAAGGUGGAGAAACAUUUUAGAAAUGAUGGCUACAAAUGGAAGAAAGCAAAAGUUGGAAGGACUAAGGAAUCCCAUGAGAAGCUCAAGGUUGAAGGUCUAGAUACAUUGCACUGCUACUAUGCUCAUGGAGAAGAAGAUGGAAAUUUUCAACGACGCAUUUACUGGAUGCUUGAAGAGUGAGCUUCUAAAAGAAUUUAUUCUCUUUUUCGGCCUCAAUGCAGAAUCUCUCACAUAUGGUUCUUGUCCACUAUCGGGACGUAAAGUAAUUUUCAUUUUCAAAUCACUGUUUGGAUUUUGAAGUAUGAAGAGAUCAAACUCUUGUAAGUAAACGCAAAAGGGUUUUAGAUAUAGACUUGAACUCCUUGGUUCUCAUCUUUAUUAUAAAAUAAUGACUAGUGUCUCUUACAAUCAAAUACAGACUUCUAAAGUGAAGGACGUUGUGGUUCCACCAUAAAACCAAUUGGCAAUAUGGAGAGUAACUAAACUCCUUAUAAGCACGUGCAAGUUCCAUUCUUUCCCUGAUGUGAGAUUCGGUCUCAAAAUAAAAGAAAACUACUUCAUUGGAUCAGUUAUACAACAAUCUAGAUAUGACUUUAGAUGAGAUCUAGGCUCUUAUGACCUUAUAAUUUGUCCGUCAUAUCCAUGUCCUACCUAUUCAUGUUUAUUUUGAUAUAUAACAUGAUCAGGGAGAGAAAAGAAAGGCUAGAUACAUUGAAGAGACUGAGAGUGCAGAAGGUGUUCAACAUUCCCGCAAAACUGACGAAAUUACACCCAAUUCUAAGAUGGACAGUUUUGCUUCUUCUAGUUUCAAUCCAAGUAAGUUCCAGCAUUCACUAGCUACAGAUGGGACAAACUUGAAUAGUGCCCCAACAUCAGAGUCUGAAAACACUGAAUCAGGUGUUUGUUUUACCUUGUCAAAGUCUCUCCGAUAUUUGUCACGAGUUCCAUUUCUUUUACAAAUAUUUCGGUGAUUUUUUUUUUUUUUUUGUAUUAUUUGUUCUCCGUGUUUAUCUUCUAUAUAUUUCUUCUAUUAUUGUUGUCUUCACUUAACUCAAUAAAUGUUGCAGCAUACCCUCUUCUUGAGAUCAAUGCUAGAUAUCUUGAUAGAUCCUGUCCCUUGAUACAUACAAGUAAUACUCGUUACCUUUCAAAAAUCCAUAUCGUCUUUGUCAACACAUGAAUUCAUUUAAAGAAGCUGUUUCUUCAUGUUUUGUUCCAACAAAUUUUCAAAUGCUUUCCCAAGCUGUAAACACGGAAAGUUUGAGUGAUGUAUAUACAUCAGACUUUGAAGAGCUCAAUCAGCAUGUGAUGAUUGUCGUUGGGAAAGCUUCUUUAAUAACACUGUCACUACUGGAUUCUCUGGAAUUGAUGAACCCGGAUUGUUUGAUUUGGA